UGGGGAAUAUUGCGCAAUGGGGGAAACCCUGACGCAGCAACGCCGCGUGAAGGAUGAAGGUUUGCGGGUUGUAAACUUCUUUGAUCGGGGACGAAGAUGACGGUACCCGGGGAACAAGCCACGGCUAACUACGUGCCAGCAGCCGCGGUAAUACGUAGGUGGCAAGCGUUGUCCGGAAUUACUGGGUGUAAAGGGCGUGUAGGCGGGGCGGCAAGUCAGAUGUGAAAUACCGUGGCUUAACUGCGGGGGUGCAUCUGAAACUGCUGCUCUUGAGUGUCGGAGAGGAAAGUGGAAUUCCCAGUGUAGCGGUGAAAUGCGUAGAGAUUGGGAAGAACACCGGUGGCGAAGGCGACUUGCUGGGCAGCAACUGACGCUGAGGCGCGAAAGCCAGGGGAGCAAACGGG
Molecule: ribosomal RNA, 404 nt
Filed under: uncultured prokaryote
Description: bacterial SSU rRNA
Rfam family: Bacterial small subunit ribosomal RNA
Source: RNAcentral